RNAcentral lists this ribosomal RNA (438 nucleotides) under uncultured bacterium. Its description in RNAcentral is "partial 16S ribosomal RNA". It matches the Rfam family "Bacterial small subunit ribosomal RNA", at positions 339 to 795 of the family's 1533-position model. The record is from RNAcentral.
CUACGGGUGGCAGCAGUGGGGAAUUUUGCGCAAUGGGCGAAAGCCUGACGCAGCAACGCCGCGUGCGGGAUGAAGGCCUUCGGGUCGUAAACCGCUUUCAGCAGGGAAGAAGUUGACUGUACCUGCAGAAGAAGCUCCGGCUAACUACGUGCCAGCAGCCGCGGUAAUACGUAGGGAGCGAGCGUUAUCCGGAUUUAUUGGGCGUAAAGCGCGCGUAGGCGGCUUGCCAAGCGGGAUCUCAAAACCGAGGGCUCAACCCCCGGACGGAUCCCGAACUGGCAGGCUCGAGUUCGGUAGGGGAAGAUGGAAUUCCCAGUGUAGCGGUGAAAUGCGCAGAUAUUGGGAAGAACACCGAUGGCGAAGGCAGUCUUCUGGGCCGCAACUGACGCUGAGGUGCGAAAGCUAGGGGAGCGAACAGGAUUAGAUACCCCUGUAGUC